CUUUCGCAAGGGGAAGCGAAAACGGUUUACCCGGGGUGGGAUUAUCCCGGGUGAAUAAAUGACGGGUACCCUUGAUAAAGAAAGGCACCCCGGCCUAACUAACGUGCCCAGCCAGCCCGCCGGGUAAUACGUUAAGGGGUGGCGAGGCGUUUAAUCGGAAUUACUGGGCGUAAAGGCGGUGCGGCAGGGCUGUUUUUGUAAAGUCCAGAUGUGAAAUCCCCGAGCUCAACUUGGGAACUGCCGCCUUGAAACUACAAGACUAGAAUAGGUCAGAGGGGGGUAGAAUUCCACGUGUAGCAGUGAAAUGCGUAGAGAUGUGGAGGAAUAUCAAUGGCGAAGGCAGCCCCCUGGGAUCAUAUUGACGCUCAUGCACGAAA
This 377-nucleotide ribosomal RNA is filed under the name uncultured bacterium. RNAcentral's name for it is "bacterial SSU rRNA". The stretch from base 157 to 377 matches the Rfam family "Bacterial small subunit ribosomal RNA", at positions 547 to 758 of the family's 1533-position model. The record is from RNAcentral.